RNAcentral lists this ribosomal RNA (261 nucleotides) under uncultured bacterium. RNAcentral describes it as "partial 16S ribosomal RNA". It matches the Rfam family "Bacterial small subunit ribosomal RNA", at positions 92 to 354 of the family's 1533-position model. The record is from RNAcentral.
CGACCGGCGGACGGGUGCGUAACGCGUAUGUAACCUACCUUUGACAGGGGGAUAACAUCGAGAAAUUGGUACUAAUACCCCAUAACAUCACCGGAGGCAUCUUCGGUGGUUGAAAUCUCAGGUGGUCAGAGAUGGACAUGCGUUGUAUUAGCUAGUUGGUGAGGUAACGGCUCACCAAGGCGACGAUACAUAGGGGGACUGAGAGGUCAACCCCCCACAUUGGUACUGAGACACGGACCAAACUCCUACGGAAGGCAGCAG